GUCAGUUUAGACCCUGUUUACAGCUGGUAAUAAGACGAGUUUCUGAUUAUCCUUACGCAAACGGUCAGCGCUAAAUAUAACUGUAAACGGGUUGCAAAAUAUUUUGUGACUGGGUCACAAAAACACAAACAGAUGUAGUCACAAACCACAUCGCAUUUGAGGUUUAAAACGCCGUCCUGAUUCAUCCCGGAUGGCAGCGAAGCACCACCUCUCACCUGUCAAUCACCCGCCAAACAGAGUUUAAACUUACAUGCGGAUUUAAAAGUAAAUAACCGUCUGAUUAGAAAACUUGAAAAAGCGAUUACAUACCCAGGAUCGAGAACUUCACGGCUGUUCCUCAGUGUGUCUGAUAUCAACGUGCAGGGUGACAAGAUGGCAAGCACACACAUCUGAAGCUGAACUAACACAUAUACUUCACUUAAACAACCAAUAAUUUUGCACGAUAUGUUGUGUUUGUGCUUAGAUUAACUCUAAGUGCUUUCUUUGUCUUCAUGACUUUUUUGGAGUUUAUUAUUGUUCAGUAACACACUGAUAUAGUGAUUGAUGUAUGUCUUCAUGAAAUCAUACACGCUUUCCUCAAAAUCCCAACACCACAACGAAAGAAUGGACAUACGCCGCAACAACAGUUGUGUUUACUUGACAAUGGAAAUAACACCCAUAUUUCUUGCUAAGCAUCAUGGGAUGUAGGAAAAAGGUGUAUACACAUCUGCUUGUAACAGGGAAUCAGGGUUCUAUAAUCAUAAAUCAUGCACGUUGAUUAUGCACAACUACUUUCAGUGUACAUGGUCUGAUUAUCUCCAUUAAGUUCAGCUGAUGCUUCACAUUUUCUACUUAAAUCUCAAACUCUUUCAUUAAUUCACUUCAGAUGCCAGUCGAGAUCUCUUUUAAAGGGGCAGUUUCAAUAGUUGCUGUGUAGUCUCAGUCGUCACGCCCACGGAACUUUGGCUGAACGUCUGAUGCAUAUGGCACACUUAACUGGAAACACUUCAGGAGUUUCGAAGUCAUCAUCUGAUUGGUCGGAUUCUACAGGAUUUCCGGGAGACAUGAGUGUCGCGUUCUGUAAUGGUCCGCCUGGAAACAAAGCAAAGCUGUCUGAUCGAAGAAGAAAAGCUGUCGUGUUUACAUGGGUGAGAAUGAGCAUUUAUCAAGAUCAGCUAAACGCUGGAUUCUCAAAAGUAUGCGAGGUUCAUGGCAUAGACUCUUUAAAAGACGUCCAAGAGAUUUGCUUGAGGCAUUUAGUGAAUCCAAAAGAGAGAUUUUAACCUGUGUGCCGACGGGAUUUGGCAAGAGUAUUAUUUUCCAAGCCUGGCCGACCCUUUGCCAGCAUUUGGAAGGAUUCCCUACUGAUCCAGUUUUAGUAGUUGUGUGCCCCCUCAUAUCGAUCAUGGAAGAUCAAGUUAAGUACCUAACUGAGAAGGGGAUAUCAGCCGCAUAUGCGGGUAAGCAUGAAAGAACAGACGCUGACAUUGCAGCUGGCCGAUUCAGUCUUGUGUUUGGUCUCCAGAAUUGCUUGUAGGUGAUAAAAAGUGGAGAGAUAUGCUCCAAACAGAUGUUUACCGGGAGCGUCUUAUAGGUAUGGCUGUUGACGAAGUGCACACCGUUGUACAAUAGGGGGAACACCAUGGCAGUGAUGCCCCAUUCAGAAAGUGGUGUGGUUUGGUUGGUGAGCUCAGAUCCCUCCUGCCCGUCUCCUUACCAGUGCUGGCCCUAACUGCUACAGCGUCUUUGUCAACAUGAAAGAAAAUAAUGAAGCACUUAAGACUACAGGAGUGCUUGGAAGUUGUCAGAAGCCCCGAUCGGAGCAACAUCAGACUUGCAGUUAAAAAAGUGUCUUCUGAUGCAGCAAAUACAUUUUCCUGGCUUGUCAACGAACUUGUGGUUAAGGGUCCACACACUGCACGUACUAUCAUUUAUUGCAAAACAAUAUCUGACUGUUCAAUGCUGUUUUUUUGCUGUGUUCCUUGCCUCCCUUGGACAAAGAGCAGUACAUCCACCUGGUGCUAGUAAUGUGUCAUCCAACAGAAAUUGUUGACAUGUUUCAUUCAAUGACAUCAGACAGUAUGAAAAACCACAUCAUUCAGGCUCUCGGAGACCCUCAGUCUGUCCUCAGAGUGGUGUUGGCAAUGUCGGGAGUGGAUUUAAAAAAUGUACAAUAUGUAGUUCAAUAUGGGCCACCAAAAGACAUUGAAACAUACAUGCAAGCGUAUGGGAGAGCAGGGAGAGAUGGCUCUAUGUCCCAUUCUCUCAUUCUGUAUCAUGGAAAGCAGCUAAUCGGCAUUUCAGAAAAAAUGCGUGAAUAUGUCAGUAAUGACAGUUCCUGCAGUUGAACUCAACUGCUGUACUUGUUUGAUGGGGAGCUUGUGCAGCCCCUUGCAGUAAAACAUGGCUGCUGUGACAAUUGUGCUAAGAUGUGUCAGUGCAAGGACAGUUGUGAUGGUAAUGCCAGUGACCUGGAACUUCUGCAAAGCCAAUUGCACACAAACUGAGAACUGUCAGCGAUCAUCAAACAGAAUCACUCCGUCAGAUGUUGAUGGACAGGCUUGAGGGAGACGUGGAUCAUGGACUAUGUGGAAAUAUUUCAGUUUACCACACAUUGCAGGAACACUACUCAACAAAAGACAAGCAUGAGAGAGACCCUGCAGUCAUGUGAGACACUGUUUUGCAUUGAUGACAUAACUUGCCGAGUUCAUGUGUACGAUCUUAAAUCAAGCCAAGACCAUUCUUGAAACUAUAAUGGAUGUGUUCGAAGACUGUGAAUCAGACGUUGACAGCAACUGUGCUGAUGAUGUCAAAUGUAAGAUGCAGCUUAAUUUCUUAUAUUUUCCCGUACUUCAGUACUAUUUGAUUUCAAAACUGAAAGUGAAAUGUUAGUUGUCACUGUCAACAUGUUGACUUUUUUUUUUCUUUUUUUUUUUUUUAAUCUUAAGUAUUUUGGCAUUCUUCAUUUAAUUACACUGCCGUUAUAAAAGAGAUUGAACCAUUAUAUUUCUGGUAAGCCGUUUACAUCUAAUUAUAAUUAUCUUAAUCAAAAAGGAUAACACCUUUUGAGCAGAUUCACUCUUAAUUUACUGAUUUUUUUUUUUGUUUGUUUUUUUUUCCAUUUGUAUACAUAUGUUUGUCCCGGUACAAACAAUACAUUUACUGUAAAAUACUUUAUUUUCAGUGGAGAAAAUGUUUUCAGUCAUGCAUUACUUUUCUAUGUAAAAUAUUAAUGUAAAGCAAUGUAAAGGUUAAAUGUGUAAACCUCUUUUAAUUUUGUCAUUGCUAUUAAUGAAAUGCUGGAGACAUUGCUGUAUAUUUGUCAGAAUUGUAGAAGUAUUUAUUAGUUGUAAACAUAAAAAUUUACAUUUUUGCAUUUUUAUAAUCUUAAGUUAAUAUUCAGCAUCAACAUUCAAAAAACUAACACUGUGAAACACUUUACAUUUCCAGGUUUUUAAUUGUUGUUAUUUUCUUCAUUUAUUUACAUAAACAACAAACUGCCCUGUAUUCUAAAAAAAUAUAGAAGCAAAAUUACCCCCCAAAAAAUGUCAAUAUAAAAAUCUAAUUAAAGUCCAAAGAUUCUAUGUGACCAGA
Molecule: long non-coding RNA, 3573 nt
Organism: Myxocyprinus asiaticus (Chinese sucker)
Lineage: Eukaryota; Metazoa; Chordata; Actinopteri; Cypriniformes; Catostomidae
Exons: 2
Source: RefSeq, a predicted model, not a curated record